Molecule: ribosomal RNA, 525 nt
Filed under: uncultured soil bacterium
Lineage: Bacteria
Description: bacterial SSU rRNA
Rfam family: Bacterial small subunit ribosomal RNA
Source: RNAcentral
AGAAUGAACGCUGGCGGCGUGCUUAACACAUGCAAGUCGCACGAGGCGGGGGGGGCAACCCCUCCAGUCGAGUGGCGGACGGGUGAGUAACACGUGGGUAACCUGCCCGGAUGUGGGGAAUACCUCGGGGAAACUCGAGCUAAUACCGCAUGACAUCUUCGGGACGAAAGUCCUGACGAUCAAAGCGGGGUCGCAAGAUCUCGCGCUUCCGGAUGGGCCCGCGCCCGAUUAGCUAGUUGGCGAGGUAACGGCUCACCAAGGCGACGAUCGGUAGCCGGCCUGAGAGGGUGAUCGGCCACACCGGAACUGAGACACGGUCCGGACUCCUACGGGAGGCAGCAGUGGGGAAUCUUGCGCAAUGGGCGAAAGCCUGACGCAGCAACGCCGCGUGGAGGAUGAAGGCCCUUGGGUUGUAAACUCCGUGUCGGCUGGGAAGAAAUCGGUUACGGGUUAAUACCCCCCGGACGUUUGACUUGUACCAGCGAAAGGAACGCCCCGGCUAACUCCUAGUCGCCAGCAAGCCGC